This 4905-nucleotide long non-coding RNA is filed under the name Sus scrofa (pig). RNAcentral's name for it is "lncRNA (ENSSSCG00000053743.1)". The record is from RNAcentral. Lineage: Eukaryota; Metazoa; Chordata; Mammalia; Artiodactyla; Suidae.
AAUCCAGGAAGUACAACGAGUACCAUAUAAAAUAGACUCAAGGAGGAACACCCCAAGACACAUAUUAAUUAAACUGACCAAAAUUAAAGACAAAAAGAAAAUCUUGAAAGCAGCUAGGGAAAAGAAACAAAUAACAUACAAGGAAACCCUGAUAAGGUUAUCAACAGAUUUUUCAGCAGAAACUGCAGGCCAGAAGGGAGUGGAAUGAUAUACUUAACGUGAUGAAAGGAAAAAACCUCCAACCAAGAUAACUUUACCCAGCAAGGCUCUCAUUCAGAUUUGAAGGAGAAAUCAAAAGCUUCACAGAUAAGCAAAAGCUAAGAGAAUUUAACAACACUAAACCAGCCUUACGACAAAUACUAAAGGAACUUCUCUAGGCAGAAAAGAAAAGGCUGCAACCAGAAACAAAAAUACCACAAAUGAUGAGGCUCACCAGUAAAGGUAUAUAUACAGUAAAAAUAGGAAAUCAUCCAUGCACAAUUAUGCUGCCAAAAUUGGAAAUCAUGAAAAGAAGAGGAUACAAAUACAGGACACUGGAGAUAAACUUGCAAUUAAGAGGCCAACAACUUAAAACAAUCUUGUAUGUAUGUGGAAUCAUUUAUCAAAACUUCAAAAUAACUGCAAACCAAAAAUAUAAAAUUGAUACAAAAACAAAUAGGAAAAAUCAACUCAAAUACAACACUAAAUAUAGUCAUCAAACCAUAAGAGGAGAGAACAAAAGAAGAAGGAAUGAAAAAAGAGCAACAAAAACAAAUCCAAAGCAAUUAAUAAAAUGGCAAUAAGAACAUGUGUAUUAAUAAUUACCUUAAAUGCUAAUGGACUAAUCACCCCAACCAAAAGACAAAGCCUGGCUGAAUGGAUACAAAAAAAGGACCCAUAUAUAUGCUGCCUUCAAGAGACCCAUUCACUUCUUCUUUUUUUUUUUUUUCUUUUUUGAUUUUUAAAAUUUAUUUAUUUAUUUAUUUUUAUUUAAUUUUAUUUUAUUUCCCCACUGUACAGCAAGGGGAUCAAGUUAUCCUUACAUGUGUACAUUACAAUUACAUUUUUUCCCCACCCUUUCUUCUGUUGCAAUAUGAAUAUCUAGACAAAGUUCUCAAUGCUAUUCAGCAGGAUCUCCUUGUAAAUCUAUUCUAAAUUGUGUCUGAUAAGCCCAAGCUCCCGAUCCCUCCCACUCCCUCCCCCUCCCAUCAGGCAGCCACAAGUCUUCUCCAAGUCCAUGAUUUUCUUUUCUGAGGAGAUGUUCAUUUGUGCUGGAUAUUAGAUUCCAGUUAUAAGUGAUAUCAUAUGGUAUUUGUCUUUGUCUUUCUGGCUCAUUUCACUCAGGAUGAGAUUCUCUAGUUCCAUCCAUGUUGCUGCAAAUGACAUUAUGUCAUUCUUCUUUAUGGCUGAGUAGCAUUCCAUUGUGUAUAUAUACCAUGUCUUCUGAAUCCAAUCAUCUGUUGAUGGACAUUUGGGUUGUUUCCAUGUCCUGGCUAUUGUGAAUAGUGCUGCAAUGAACAUGCGGGUGCAUGUGUCUCUUUUAAGUAGAGUUUUGUCUGGAUAGAUGCCCAAGAGUGGGAUUGUGGGGUCAUAUGGAAGUUCUAUGUAUAGAUUUCUAAGAUAUCUCCAAACUGUUCUCCAUAGUGGCUGUACCAUUUCACUUCUAGGAACACAUACAAAUUCAAAGUGAGAGGAUGAAAAAAAAUAUUCCAUGCAAACGGGAAUCAAAAGAAAGCUGGAGAAGCAAUACUCUUAUCAGACAAAAUAGACUUUAAAAUGAAGAAUACUUUAAGGGACAAGGAAGGUCACUAUGUAAUGACCAAAGGAUCAAUCCAAGAAGAUACAACAAUUUUAAAUAUAUACACACCCAACAUAGGUUCACCACAAUAUAUAAGGCAACUGCUAACAACCUUAAAAGGACAAACCGACAAUAACACAAUAAUAGUGGGGGACUUUAACACCCCACUUACAGCAAUGGACAGAUCAUCCAGAAAAUAAACAAGGAAACACAGGCCCUAAAUGAAGCAUUAGACCAGAAGGAAUUAAUAGAGAUUUAUAGGACAUUCCAUCCAAAAACAACAGAAUAUACAUUCCUCUCAAGUGCAUAUGAAACAUUCUCUAAGACUGAAUACAUUCUGGGCUACAAAUCAAGCCUUGAUAACUUUAAGAAAACUGAAAUCAUAUCAAGCAUCUUGUCUAACCACAACGCUAUAUGACUGGAAAGCAACAAUAAGAAAAAAAAUUCAAAAAACUAAACACGUAGAGACUAAACAACAUGCUACAAACAACCAAUAGAUUACUGAAGAAAUCAAAGAGGAAAUUAGAAAAUACCUAGAAGCAAAUGACAAUGAAGAUAUGACACUCCAAAACCUAUGGGAUGCAGCAAAUGUGUUUUAUGAGGAAAGUUUAUAGCAAUAUACAAGCCCACCUCAGGAAUCAAGAAAAAGCUCAAAUAAACAAGUUAACUUUACAUCUAAAGCAGCUAGAGAGAAAAGAACAGACAAGAUCUAAAGUUAGUAGAGGGAAAGAAAUCAUAAAGAUCAAAGCAAAAAUCAAAGAAAUAGAAACAAAGAAAACCAUAGAAAAGAUCAAUGAAAUGAAAAGCUGGCUCUCUGAAAAGAUCAACAAAAUUGAUAAACCCUUAGGAGACUUACCAAGAAAAAGGAGAGAGGAUUCAAAUCAAUAAAAUUAGAAAUGAUAAAGAAGAAGUAACAAAGGACAUCACAGAAAAACAAAGGAUCAUAAGAGACUACUACAUGCAACUAUAAGCCAAUAAAACAGAAAACCUAGAAGAAAUGGACAAAUUCUUAGAAAAGUACAAUCUUCCAAGACUAAACCAAGAUGAAAUAGAAAAGAUGAACAAACCAAUCACAAGUACUGAAUUUGAAACUGUGAUUAAAAAACUUCCAACAAACAAAAGUCCAGGACCAGAUGGCUUCACAGACAAAUUCUAUCAAACAUUUAGAGAAGAGCUAACACCCAUCCUUAUGAAACUAUUUCAGAAAAUUGCAGACGGAGGGACACUCUCACUCAUUCUGUGAGGCUACCAUCACCCUGAUACCAAAACCAGACAAAGACACCACAAAAAAAGAAAACUAUAGGCCAAUUUCACUGAUGAACAUCGAUGCAAAAAUCCUCAACAAAAUACUAGCAAACCACAUCCAACAAUACCUUAAAAGCAUUGUACAUCAUGAUCAACUGGGAUUUAUCCAAGGGAUGCAAGGGUUCUUCAAUAUGCGCAAAUCCAUCACAUUUACAAACUGAAGAAUAAAAACCAUGUGAUCCUCUGAAUAGAUGUGGUAAAAGCCUUUAACAAAAUCCAACACCCAUUUCUGAUAAAAACCCUUCAGAAAGUGGGCAUAGAGGGAACCUACCUCAACAUAAUAAAGGCCAUAUAUGACAAACCCACAGCUAACAUCAUUUCCAAUAGUAAAAAGCUGAAAGACUUGCUGCUGAGAUCAGGAACCAGGCAAGGAUGUCCGCUCCUGCCACUACUCUUCAACAUAGUUCUGGAAGUCCUAGCCAUAGCAAUCAGAGAAGUAAAAGAAAUAAAAGGAAUCCAAAUUGUAAAGGAAGAAGUGAAACUAUCACUAUUUGCAGAUGACAUGAUACUAUACCUAGAGAAUCCUAAAGACUCUACCAGAAAACUGUUAGAGCUCAUCCAGGAAUUUGGCUAGUCGUAGGAUACAAAAUUAAUACAUAGAAAUCAACUACAUUUCUAUAUAGUAACAAAGAAAGAUCAGAAAGAGAAAUUAGUGAAGCAAUCCCGUUUACCAUCACAUCCAAAAGAAUAAAAUACCUAGGAGUAAAUCUACCUAAAGGGACAAAAGGCCUGUACUCUGACAACCAUGAGACACUGAUAAAAGAAAUCAAAGAUGACACAAACAGAUGGAAACACAUACCAUGAUCUAGGAUUGGAAGAGUCAAUAUUAUCAAAAUGAGUAUACUACCCAAGGCAAUCUACAGAUUCAAUAAAAUCCCUAUCAAAUUACCAAGGGCAUUUUUCACAGAACUUGAACAAAAUAUUUUAAAGUUUGUUUGGAAGCACAAAAGACCCAGCAUAGCCAAAGACAUCCUGGAAUAGAAAAAUGGAGCUGGAGGAAUCAGGCUUCCUGAGUUCAGGCUAUACUACAAAGCAACAGUAAUCAAAACUGUAUGGUACUGACACAAAGACAGAAAUAUAUAUCAGUGGAACAGGAUAGAAAGCCCAGAAUUAAACCCACACACCUACAGAAAACUCCUCUAUUGACAAAGGAGGCAAGAGUGUGCAAUGGAGAAAAGAUAGUCCCUUCUAUAAGUGGUGCUGGAAAAACUGGACAGCCACAUGGAAAAGAAUGAAAUUAGAACACUUCCUAACACCAUACACAAAUAUAAUCUCAAAAUGGAUUAAAGACCUAGAUAUAAGGCCAGAUACUAUAAAACUCUUAGAGGAAAACAUAGGCCAAACACUCUCCGGCAUAAACCACAGCAACAUCUUCUCAGAUCCACCUCUUAGAGUAAUGACAGUACAAACAAAAAUAGACAACCAGGACUUAAUUAAACUUAAAAGUUUCUUCACAAGAAAGGAAACCCUAAACAAAAUGAAAAGACAGGAGUUCCCAUCUUGGCUCAGUAGUUAACAAAUCCGACUAGGAACCAUGAUGUUGUGGGUUCAAUCCCUGGCCUUGCUCAGUGGGUUAACGAUCCAGCGUUGCUGUGAGCUGUGGUAUAGGUUGCAGACACGGCUUGGAUCCCAAGUUGCCAUGGCUCUGGCGUAAGCUGGCGGCUACAGCUCUAAUUAGACCCCUAGCCUGGGAACCUCCACAUGCCACGGAAGUGGCCCAAGAAAUGGCAAAAAAGACAACCCACAGAAUGGGAGAAAAUCUUUGCAAAUGAAUCAACUGACAAGGGAUUAAUCUCCAAAAUUUAUAGACACCUCCUACCACU